CUGUCCCAGCAAGCCACCAGAUGUCACUGGUCCUCCACAGAGCUCUUGCCUUCGCUCGGGCUUCUGCUUGGAGCUGGCAGUGCCUGUGCAGACUGAAACCGGAGCUGUCUCUGCUGAGGUAUUUGUUGGUUUGUAGUUUCGGUUGGUAACGAUGAGCUGUGGAGCCCUGUCACCUUUUUUUUUUUUUUUUUUAAAGUUUUGCAAUGUUCUAUCUGGCAUACAGUUUCCUUUGUUUGUUACAGGAUUAAAAAUGUAAUUUCUACGUUCUGGCCACAAACACAGUGUUUUAUUAUGAGAUUGUACUCCCUAAGAAUCAUGCUGUCAACACUAAAUAAAUAGCUCUUCAGUGCUUUGCUGUCAGAUCACAGCACCUUCCUUCUGAAAAACCCUCCUGUGUCUGUCGUGGCUUUAUUGUAGAGGAACUGUGGGGUUUGAAGGGGGGGCUGGAGAUGUGUGAAGACACCUUGUGGGUGCAUUUCAUACUGUGUAAGGGGUAUAGUCUGCAGAACUUGGCUUUCUGGGAAUCCACACGUGAAUGACCGAUGUGCUGUAAAAUGUUGCAGUAUGGAGUUUAAGGUUUGUUUUUCCUAGUUCUUUUUUUACUGCGUUUGUAGUUGAGCUCUUGCAUGUAGGUUGGUGUUUGAUGUGAUCAAUAGCAAAAGCAAAUCACUAACAGGCUUGGUUCAUCAGAUUGUUGGUAAACACUUGAUUUUUGAAAGCUUGGUUCUGGUACUGAAGAACUCUCAUAUAUUCUGCCCUUCCUUUAUGUUUGCUUUUCCCCAGCCUCUCAAAAUAACAAAUCUUUUUGCCUUGUCUCAUACUGAACGCUCGGAAAAAUGCCAGAUGGGUUGAAUAACCCUAAAAGAUGGGAUAUAACAGUUGAGAAAAUUGUAGUAUAACAUAUGGUUCCUAAUUGUUUUUCACUGUGGAUUGAAUGGGUGAAGUGUUUUCUGUUCUUAGCGUUGUGGAUUAAUCUUUAUUGUGUGAUUCCUUUGCCCAUGCAGAUCUGCCAAGCCUGUUUGUGUCUUUAAGAGCUUCAUAUUAUUACUUUCCCUGUUUGUUCACCAUACUUUGUAAACUUGGUUUUGGUGGAUUUUUUCUGUAGCUAAAUACACAACUGGAAAAAAAAAAUAAACUCGGUAAGACAAAUAGGAAUUUGGAGUAUUGAGCUGAUGGAGAGCGGGCAUCAAGACUCUUCAUUGAUUUAGUCCUUAUUCUUAUUUAUGUUUGUUUUUUAAAUCUAGUGGCAAAGAGAUGAAAUCCACAGUGGCUCCACAAAGGUGUUCUCACUGUCGCUUGUUUUUUCUGCCUGGAAAAUUUAUGCCAGAAUUGAGUGCAGGUGACAGAGGAUGACACCAAGAAAGUAUUUUGCAUCCGUGAUUCCUGCAUCCCUGAGCCCUGUUGGGGUUAGCACAGGAGUUUGAAGACACUGCCCAAUUCCUCAGCAUUUCUAAUUGCGAGGGUUGUCCUUCCAGAUGCGGAUGGUGAGACAAGUCGCCAUGGCCAACCAGCCCAGGUAGGGCACCAUCAGCAGCGCGGCCACCUUGUUAAUGGGGUACCAGGAGCACAUCGUGCCUAUGGCCAGGCCGUCCAAGCACAGGAUGUCAAUCAGCGCCUGGAGCAGAGAGGAGACAAUGACCGUGGUGCUCAGAAUGACAAAAUUCAGAUGGAAAUAUGAAUCCCGCUCUGUGUCUCCAUCCCCCCUGGCCCUCGGCACCUGAGUUUUGAAAAUAGAGAUGCCGGGUCAGCUGCUGGCAUAAAUCUGCAAGGUUCCUCGGAAGCCAGCGGAGCUUCUCUGAUUUACAUCGGCAAUAAAGUCGUCCUGGUUUGUCUGUCGCUGAUGAGAGCGCGACGGUGCUCACCCGGCUGCCACCAAGGACACGCCGGUGGCCGGGGAGGAACCUUCAUGGCCAUCACCAUCCUCUGAGCCCCUCAAACCUGCCAGCCUCGCCACUGCAGAAUGGAACCUUUCAUCUUCCAGUAUGAAAAGCCACUGAAGAAAAAAAUACAAAUAAACCCCUAGUUUUAUUUCUAAUGAACAAAAAGCUUGUUUUUAAAUUUUCAGUUAUGUUGAAAUAAAAGUGCCAGAUAAUAUGAAA
Long non-coding RNA from Calidris pugnax (ruff), 2099 nucleotides. RefSeq lists it as uncharacterized. The transcript is spliced from 5 exons. The record is from RefSeq and is a predicted model, not a curated record. NCBI's taxonomy places the organism in Eukaryota, Metazoa, Chordata, Aves, Charadriiformes, Scolopacidae.